This 456-nucleotide ribosomal RNA is filed under the name uncultured Pseudanabaenaceae cyanobacterium. RNAcentral describes it as "bacterial SSU rRNA". It matches the Rfam family "Bacterial small subunit ribosomal RNA", at positions 337 to 796 of the family's 1533-position model. The record is from RNAcentral. Lineage: Bacteria; Bacillati; Cyanobacteriota; Cyanophyceae; Pseudanabaenales; Pseudanabaenaceae.
UCCUACGGGAGGCAGCAGUGGGGAAUUUUCCGCAAUGGGCGAAAGCCUGACGGAGCAAGACCGCGUGGGGGAAGAAGGCUCUUGGGUUGUAAACCCCUUUUCUCUGGGAAGAAAGUUGUGAAAGCAGCCUGACGGUACCAGAGGAAUCAGCAUCGGCUAACUCCGUGCCAGCAGCCGCGGUAAUACGGGGGAUGCAAGCGUUAUCCGGAAUUAUUGGGCGUAAAGCGUCCGCAGGUGGUUUUGGUAGUCUGCUGUCAAAGCGCGAGGCUCAACUUCGUAUCGGCGGUGGAAACUCCAAGACUAGAGUUUGGUAGGGGUCACGGGAAUUCCCAGUGUAGCGGUGAAAUGCGUAGAUAUUGGGAAGAACACCAGCGGCGAAAGCGCGUGACUGGGCCUGAACUGACACUCAUGGACGAAAGCUAGGGGAGCGAAAGGGAUUAGAUACCCCAGUAGUCA